UGCCAGCAGCCGCGGUAAUACGAAGGGUGCUAGCGUUGUUCGGAAUCAUUGGGUUUAAAGGGUCCGUAGGCGGGAAUCUAAGUCAGUGGUGAAAUCUUGCAGCUCAACUGUAAAAUUGCCAUUGAUACUGGAUUUCUUGAAUUAGUGUGAAGUGGUUAGAAUGUGUAGUGUAGCGGUGAAAUGCAUAGAUAUUACACAGAAUACCAAUUGCGAAGGCAGAUCACUAACACUAUAUUGACGCUAAGGGACGAAAGCGUGGGGAGCGAACGGGAUUAGAUA
This 279-nucleotide ribosomal RNA is filed under the name uncultured bacterium. RNAcentral describes it as "partial 16S ribosomal RNA". It matches the Rfam family "Bacterial small subunit ribosomal RNA", at positions 506 to 784 of the family's 1533-position model. The record is from RNAcentral.